RNAcentral lists this ribosomal RNA (253 nucleotides) under uncultured bacterium. RNAcentral's name for it is "partial 16S ribosomal RNA". It matches the Rfam family "Bacterial small subunit ribosomal RNA", at positions 524 to 776 of the family's 1533-position model. The record is from RNAcentral.
UACGUAGGGGGCAAGCGUUGUCCGGAUUUAUUGGGCGUAAAGAGCUCGUAGGCGGUCUGUCGCGUCUGCUGUGAAAACUCAGGGCUUAACCCUGAGCUUGCAGUGGGUACGGGCAGACUAGAGUGCGGUAGGGGAGACUGGAAUUCCUGGUGUAGCGGCGAAAUGCGCAGAUAUCAGGAGGAACACCGGUGGCGAAGGCGGGUCUCUGGGCCGUAACUGACGCUGAGGAGCGAAAGCAUGGGGAGCGAACAGG